This is a long non-coding RNA of Entelurus aequoreus (snake pipefish), 816 nucleotides long. RefSeq lists it as uncharacterized. The record is from RefSeq and is a predicted model, not a curated record. NCBI's taxonomy places the organism in Eukaryota, Metazoa, Chordata, Actinopteri, Syngnathiformes, Syngnathidae. The transcript is spliced from 8 exons.
GGUCAACGUGUUACAAAUGUUUGCCAAAAAUGACUUUUAAAUGUUCAAAAGUGCGACAGGAAGUGCCUUCAGCUCACCCCUAACAAAGCUCGGGUUCGUGGGAACCUGCCUGUCCUGACGAAAGGUCUUCUGCUGGACACACGGUGGACUCUUGAGAGAAGGGGAGUGCCGCAUGCUUGGAAAAGGCCAACUGGAGAAGACUGAUGCUUGUCCUGCUCCACAAGGUGGCAUGCUUGACUGAAUGAGCCAUAUCUAAGUGUCAGUGGGGAGAAUGCUGGAAAGGAGGAAGGCCAUGGACUACUACUGCGUGAUGAACACACAUUAUCUACCUCCUUUAGUGUAGGGUGGAGCUGCAGAUCCACCGCAGAUGGAGGAAGGGGAGCCGCGUCAGGUGUCGCCGCGCCGCGACCCCAUUUCACCCGCCGCCGCUACCCGUCUAGGGCCAGUUCUCCGCCUGGCCAAUCUGGGCCCUACUGCCUUGCCCAGCAGCUGGCACCAGCCAGGAGUCAUCAGGGCCGCCUUAAAAAGACCCCGGACGUUGAGGCUCAUCUUUUAAACAUUUCUCUUAUAGCUUGAUCAAGCUGUCAGGCAAGAAGGAAGUGGAGAGCAGUGAGACUGUGGACCCCCGAGGAGAAGCAAUGAGAUGGAACCUCGCCUCUUCUCCCUAAUGGACAAAAGCAUUUGAGCAGCAUCUGCUGGCUCGGUGGGGCGGGACAGCUGGUGUUGUGAAUCAGGCCGCCACAUUGCAGGACACGGCUACUUCCCAACACCAGGGUCCCUCCUUCACUGCUCACUUCUGCUGCAGACAUUCAUUCA